GCUCGGGUGGUGGAAUGGUAGACACGUACGUUUCAGAUGCGUAUGUCCUUCGGACGUGUGGGUUCAAGUCCCAUCUCGAGCACCA
This 85-nucleotide transfer RNA is filed under the name Candidatus Altimarinota bacterium. RNAcentral describes it as "tRNA-Leu". It matches the Rfam family "tRNA". Rfam says of the family: Transfer RNA (tRNA) molecules are approximately 80 nucleotides in length. Their secondary structure includes four short double-helical elements and three loops (D, anti-codon, and T loops). RNAcentral also lists the same sequence under 1 other name. The record is from RNAcentral. Lineage: Bacteria; Candidatus Altimarinota.